CACACACACACACACACACACACACACGCACGCACACGCACCACAAGCACUAAUAAUGUUUAGAUGUAUGUGCACAAAAUGCUUAGCAUUGUGCCUCGUCAACUGCUGGUGACUACUGGUAACUACAUCUCCUAGCAAGCCCAAAUUGUGCGUGCCCGUGGCAGAUGGGUGCUACCCGCUGCCACUUUGGUUGAUUCAAGGAUAAGCACUGACAGGUGGUGGCUCUGCGGGCCUCAUUAGCCAGAAAAGGGCCUGGCUAGGGUUUGCGAUAGGGUGGGGACGUGGAAAUGAUGAAUUCUCCUUCCACCCCAGCUGGUGCUUUGCAGGCUAAGGGUGGCCAGAGGGGCCAACGGUAGCGAUCGCUUAACUGCCACCAGUUCCACGCGGCUCAGCAGGAAGGAUGGAUGCUUAAAGAUUUCUUCCUUGAGCAGCAUUCCAGCAAGUUCGCAGAUCGUCCUUUCCCUCCCUCUCCCCUCACCCCUACCCAUCCCCUUCCUUCUCCUCCAUCUCCCUCCUCCUGCACAUCUUGUUUCUCCACUUCUGUGAAAUGAACGUUUUAAACUCUGAGACCCUGGCAAGACCCAGCACCUGUGAACAUGAUGACUGGACAGAGAACACCAGGAUGUGCUUACACCACCUACUCCGCCCUGAGCACCCCGCCCUCAUCCCCCAUGGUGCAUGAGUGCCCUGGUAUGCUACAGCUGCAUAAGGAAGCAGAACUAGGGGCUUAAGCCGCAGAAAGGCUCAAAGGCCCAGAUCAAGGGGCCAGAGGUUUGUUCCCUUCUCAAGCUGGGGUCAAGCUCCAUUCCACCUCCUUGGACAUUCCUUGGCAAAUAGAAAUAAAACUCCUACCCCUGCUUCCAUCCUCA
Molecule: non-coding RNA, 869 nt
Organism: Peromyscus maniculatus bairdii (prairie deer mouse)
Lineage: Eukaryota; Metazoa; Chordata; Mammalia; Rodentia; Cricetidae
Source: RefSeq, a predicted model, not a curated record